ACCAUGAUACUUUCCUCCUCACCAGUGAAAUAAUGCGCAGAAGGGGGGCGCCAAGUUGGGUCUUCCAAAGAGGAUGUGUGAGAUGUUUCCGUAGAUUUAUCACAGUCUCCCCCCCGCUAUCUAAUUCUCACUAUUGUGGCGUGUGUGCUUUUAAUGCAAAGCCCAAAGAGACCAAAAAAAUUUCCCCAUUUGUAAAAAGGUGGAUGAAUUGUUUUAUGGGCAAAACCAGUGAAAAGCUAGAAGACAAAAAAAAAAGUGUUUUGAAAUUCCAAAAGGACAGGCGAGGGACCCUGCGGGAGGGAACAACAAAAGGGGUCUCAAAAAAAAAAAGUGGACGAACCCGUGCGCGUGAAAGGGGCGGACCCCCAGACCUCCCCGAAGGGCUCGUGCCUCACCCCUCGGGGGCCCGCAGCCACACCACUGUUUGAAACGUUAAUUAAUUCUCUCCCGGGGGAACAAUCCGGAAAAAAGAAUCAAACCGUUGCCACCCCACCGGUGUGGCGGCGGCCCCCCCAAGGGAAGGGCACCGAGCCUCUCGGGGGGGUUUGGGGGUCCCCCCCCUUCACAAAAAAAAAAAAAAACCAUCCUUACUUUACGAGCACCUUCUGUUCUCCCUCGGCAUGCGUCCUGCGCUGCCGUUGGAAUUACAAAACUCUUUUUUGCAUCUAGCAUUACCUGUUCCGACAAUAACAAUCGUUACAACUUUCAACAAUGGAUCUCUUGGCUCUGGCAUCGAUGAAGAACGCAGCGAAAUGCGAUAAGUAGUGUGAAUUGCAGAAUUCAGUGAAUCAUCGAAUCUUUGAACGCACAUUGCGCCCCUCGGUAUUCCGUGGGGCGUGGAGUAUUCGAGCGUCAUCUACACCCUCAAGCUCUGCUUGGUGUUGGGCGUCUGUCCCGCCUCGGCGCGCGGACUCGCCCCAAAUGCAUUGGCAGCGGUCUUUGCCUCCUCUCGCGCAGCACAUUGCGCUUCUCGAGGUGUCGCGGACACGCGUCCAGUAAGCAACAUUACCGUCUUGACUCGAUCAGGUACGGAUAA
Molecule: ribosomal RNA, 1036 nt
Filed under: Pleosporales sp. Aravind Mdu UI4
Lineage: Eukaryota; Fungi; Ascomycota; Dothideomycetes; Pleosporales
Description: eukaryotic LSU rRNA
Rfam family: 5.8S ribosomal RNA (bases 701-855)
Source: RNAcentral